Molecule: ribosomal RNA, 439 nt
Filed under: uncultured bacterium
Lineage: Bacteria
Description: bacterial SSU rRNA
Rfam family: Bacterial small subunit ribosomal RNA
Source: RNAcentral
ACGCGAGGAACCUUACCAGGUCUUGACAUCCUCUGACACUCCUAGAGAUAGGACGUUCCCCUUCGGGGGACAGAGUGACAGGUGGUGCAUGGUUGUCGUCAGCUCGUGUCGUGAGAUGUUGGGUUAAGUCCCGCAACGAGCGCAACCCUUGAUCUUAGUUGCCAGCAUUAAGUUGGGCACUCUAAGGUGACUGCCGGUGACAAACCGGAGGAAGGUGGGGAUGACGUCAAAUCAUCAUGCCCCUUAUGACCUGGGCUACACACGUGCUACAAUGGAUGGUACAAAGGGCAGCAAAACCGCGAGGUCGAGCAAAUCCCAUAAAACCAUUCUCAGUUCGGAUUGUAGGCUGCAACUCGCCUACAUGAAGCUGGAAUCGCUAGUAAUCGCGGAUCAGCAUGCCGCGGUGAAUACGUUCCCGGGCCUUGCACUCACCGCCCGU